This 274-nucleotide ribosomal RNA is filed under the name uncultured bacterium. RNAcentral's name for it is "partial 16S ribosomal RNA". It matches the Rfam family "Bacterial small subunit ribosomal RNA", at positions 523 to 796 of the family's 1533-position model. The record is from RNAcentral.
AGACGGGGGGGGCGAGCGUUGUUCGGAAUUACUGGGCGUAAAGGGCGCGCAGGCGGCCUGGGAAGUCUUGGGUGAAAGCCCCCAGCUCAACUGGGGAAUGGCCUGAGAAACCACUAGGCUGGAGUGCUGGAGAGGGAAGCGGAAUUCCCGGUGGAGCGGUGAAAUGCGUAGAUAUCGGGAGGAACACCAGAGGCGAAGGCGGCUUCCUGGACAGACACUGACGCUGAGGCGCGAAAGCUAGGGGAGCAAACGGGAUUAGAUACCCCAGUAGUCC